RNAcentral lists this ribosomal RNA (478 nucleotides) under uncultured bacterium. Its description in RNAcentral is "partial 16S ribosomal RNA". It matches the Rfam family "Bacterial small subunit ribosomal RNA", at positions 28 to 523 of the family's 1533-position model. The record is from RNAcentral.
GACGAACGCUGGCGGCGUGCUUAACACAUGCAAGUCGAACGGUAAGGCCCUUCGGGGUACACGAGUGGCGAACGGGUGAGUAACACGUGGGUGAUCUGCCCUGCACUUCGGGAUAAGCCUGGGAAACUGGGUCUAAUACCGGAUAGGACCACUGCCUGCAUGGGUGGUGGUGGAAAGCUUUUGCGGUGUGGGAUGGGCCCGCGGCCUAUCAGCUUGUUGGUGGGGUGAUGGCCUACCAAGGCGACGACGGGUAGCCGGCCUGAGAGGGUGACCGGCGACACUGGGACUGAGAUACGGCCCAGACUCUUACGGGAGGAAGCAGUGGGGAAUAUUGCACAAUGGGCGCAAGCCUGAUGCAGCGACGCCGCGUGAGGGAUGACGGCCUUCGGGUUGUAAACCUCUUUCAGCACCGACGAAGCGCAAGUGACGGUAGGUGCAGAAGAAGGACCGGCCAACUACGUGCCAGCCGCCGCAGUAA